RNAcentral lists this ribosomal RNA (515 nucleotides) under Salmonella enterica subsp. enterica serovar Poona. Its description in RNAcentral is "partial 23S ribosomal RNA". It matches the Rfam family "Bacterial large subunit ribosomal RNA", at positions 709 to 1221 of the family's 2925-position model. Lineage: Bacteria; Pseudomonadati; Pseudomonadota; Gammaproteobacteria; Enterobacterales; Enterobacteriaceae. The record is from RNAcentral.
AUAGACCCGAAACCCGGUGAUCUAGCCAUGGGCAGGUUGAAGGUUGGGUAACACUAACUGGAGGACCGAACCGACUAAUGUUGAAAAAUUAGCGGAUGACCUGUGGCUGGGGGUGAAAGGCCAAUCAAACCGGGAGAUAGCUGGUUCUCCCCGAAAGCUAUUUAGGUAGCGCCUCGUGAACUCAUCUCCGGGGGUAGAGCACUGUUUCGGCUAGGGGGCCAUCCCGGCUUACCAACCCGAUGCAAACUGCGAAUACCGGAGAAUGUUAUCACGGGAGACACACGGCGGGUGCUAACGUCCGUCGUGAAGAGGGAAACAACCCAGACCGCCAGCUAAGGUCCCAAAGUCAUGGUUAAGUGGGAAACGAUGUGGGAAGGCCCAGACAGCCAGGAUGUUGGCUUAGAAGCAGCCAUCAUUUAAAGAAAGCGUAAUAGCUCACUGGUCGAGUCGGCCUGCGCGGAAGAUGUAACGGGGCUAAACCAUGCACCGAAGCUGCGGCAGCGACGCUUAUGCGU